Molecule: microRNA precursor, 95 nt
Filed under: Paramuricea clavata
Lineage: Eukaryota; Metazoa; Cnidaria; Anthozoa; Malacalcyonacea; Plexauridae
Source: RNAcentral
UACCUCAGAAAACCACAACAGUCUGUUUCAUCCGUAUAGGAAUCAUCAGGUGGUCUAUGAUUCCUAUACGGAUGAAACAGACUGUUGUGGUUUUC